UACGUAGGGGGCAAGCGUUGUCCGGAAUCAUUGGGCGUAAAGAGCGUGUAGGCGGUCCGAUAAGUCCGCUCUGAAAGCCCGGGGCUCAACCCCGGGAGGCGGGCGGAUACUGUCGGGCUAGAGUCCGGAAGAGGCAAGUGGAAUUCCUGGUGUAGCGGUGAAAUGCGCAGAUAUCAGGAGGAACACCGAUGGCGAAGGCAGCUUGCUGGGACGGUACUGACGCUGAGACGCGAAAGCUAGGGGAGCAAACGGG
Molecule: ribosomal RNA, 253 nt
Filed under: uncultured bacterium
Lineage: Bacteria
Description: partial 16S ribosomal RNA
Rfam family: Bacterial small subunit ribosomal RNA
Source: RNAcentral